This 480-nucleotide ribosomal RNA is filed under the name Streptococcus mitis. RNAcentral's name for it is "bacterial SSU rRNA". It matches the Rfam family "Bacterial small subunit ribosomal RNA", at positions 28 to 494 of the family's 1533-position model. The record is from RNAcentral. Lineage: Bacteria; Bacillati; Bacillota; Bacilli; Lactobacillales; Streptococcaceae.
GACGAACGCUGGCGGCGUGCCUAAUACAUGCAAGUAGAACGCUGAAGGAGGAGCUUGCUUCUCUGGAUGAGUUGCGAACGGGUGAGUAACGCGUAGGUAACCUGCCUGGUAGCGGGGGAUAACUAUUGGAAACGAUAGCUAAUACCGCAUAAUAGCAGUUGUUGCAUGACAACUGUUUGAAAGGUGCAAUUGCAUCACUACCAGAUGGACCUGCGUUGUAUUAGCUAGUUGGUGGGGUAAGGGCUCACCAAGGCGACGAUACAUAGCCGACCUGAGAGGGUGAUCGGCCACACUGGGACUGAGACACGGCCCAGACUCCUACGGGAGGCAGCAGUAGGGAAUCUUCGGCAAUGGACGGAAGUCUGACCGAGCAACGCCGCGUGAGUGAAGAAGGUUUUCGGAUCGUAAAGCUCUGUUGUAAGAGAAGAACGAGUGUGAGAGUGGAAAGUUCACACUGUGACGUAUCUACCAGAAAGGACG